CCUUAUCCACUAAAGGCGUGAGGCGUGGCUUAAAUUGUGCAUGGAGUGAUUUCAUGAGAAACCUUUUCUCAUGUAAUAAAUGGGGCGUAAAAAAAGAGAUAAGGUGCAAAGAUUGAUUGCCCAUUCAAAUUCAAAUUUUAUUUUGAAUUUGAAUGGCCAACCAAUCAUCCUUAUCUAUUCAUAUGGCACAUUAAAGAGAGGCAUGGAGAGGGCUUGGCGUGAGGAAAUAAUUCAUGAGAAGUUUCUUCUCAUGAAUUCAAAUGGGUGCAAUGGAAGUGAGGUGGCGCAUGGAGAUUGGGUCAAGGUGGUUUAAUUAUUUAAACAAACCUAAUAGAACCAAAUAAGUUAGGUCCAAUU
This 357-nucleotide long non-coding RNA is filed under the name Elaeis guineensis (African oil palm). RNAcentral describes it as "long non-coding RNA (EGUI_LNC076480)". The record is from RNAcentral. Lineage: Eukaryota; Viridiplantae; Streptophyta; Magnoliopsida; Arecales; Arecaceae.